CGUCUAGUUGAAUUUCUUUAAGAUCAAGUGUAAGAAAAUCUACUGGAUAGAUAUAUUUAGAAAGUUUUCAAGGUAAAUGCAAAAUUGGAACAAACGGAAAAUUUUGAGUCAAGGUGUGAGGCAAUAAAAUUUCGGGUUCAUGGCAACCAAAUAAACUAAGAUGAAAAUACCAAACUAACCACCGAAUUUCAGAUUAAAUACCAUGCAACCAAGACCCAAUCAUUAGAAAUUUAACAAACAAACUGGGUGCUUGGGGAAUUAAAACCAAUUGGAGGUCAACUAACUAGCUAUUAGACCAAACGGUAGAGAGGAAAUAAGUGGAAUUUGGCUGCUGACAUGGGACGGUGGGUAGCUCUCGUCUGGACAGCUGCCCUGAAGGAAUCUGCUGAGUAUGCAGUGACCGAAUGAGGUGAACAUUGGAUUGAUCAGCACCGAAUGAAGAAGCUUGAGUGGUCGGUGGAGUGAAGGAAAUAUGUUCAAAUGCUCUUCUUACCAACCAAGCAUUGGAAACCAAAUCGAGAGUGAGAGUUUCGGUCAUAACCAUUCAUGCCAAAACACCACCGAGUGAGAAAUAUUUCUAGUUCCUCUUGUCCAGCUUGCAACCGAGAGAGAGUGUGUGUGUGAGGGAGAGAGUGCUAGCUUUAUCUCUCCAGCUCGCAACCUCAUAACCGUGAGUCAAAGUGAAUGAGAGGGAGAGAAAUCUUGUUAGCUGCAUCAUCCACCAGUUUUAACCGAGAGUGAAAGUGACGUAAGGAAGGAGAAGGAGAGAGUUGGAACGGAAACUUUGAGGAGCCGCAACAGAAAGCUAAGAGUAACCUGCAAUUACCGAAUUCUAAAGGAAAGAGGAACUCAUUUUUGGCCUCUUUCAACUGUGAGAACCAGCCACAAAGAAAGAAGGAAUGCAGUCUAUCGAGUCUAGGAUGGGAGAGUGGAACCAGAAUUUUAUUUUCUUAACUUAGGCCAUAAGAACCAGAGGUAAACUACUGUCCUCCUCUUCCAGUUCUUCCACGUUUAGUUAGUAGUCUUUUAGACUGAGUUGGAACCAAGUAAAAGAAAACUUUCUGGAAAACAAAGGUUAUCAAAGCUGGAAAUGUUAGUUUGAAGCUGCUGUGUGAUACUUGAUGAGCUAAUCUGCAAUUUUCCAGUUGUAUCUUCUGUUGCAUGUCUCACAUACAUUUUCUGGUCACAUAUCUUAACAUGGAUAUCACCUUUGAGAGGUUAAAAGCAAGGAAAAGAUGAAUUAAAAGCAGGAACAUUGUUGGAAAUUUUAUUGAGGACCGUAGGAAGAAAACUUGCUGGAAUUUUCCAGCUCUAUCCGAGAGAAGGAAAUGAAGAGGUUUCUAACUGUCCUCAUGAAUUAUGGCCUUGAAUCUCUAUGUUAAACUGUAGUAUAUGAUGUAUAAUAGCUGGUCUGAACAUGCAUGGAAGAUUUGAGCAAGAACUGAAGUGAUUAUUGGAGAGAAAAUAGUGUUGAGUGAUUGCUGCAACAAUUCUGGAAAAAAAUGCAGAAGGAAGAAGAUCGUGAGCUGAACCAGUAUUGUUCUGAUUUCCCUUGGCUAUAAACUUGUAUUCAUGCUGAUGGUACUCUGUAGUUUGAUAACCAACCUUUGCAUGUGGAAUUUAAUGAACAAAACUGAAAGAAAUUAGGGAGGAAAAACUAUGAACUGCGUUGUUAAUUGCUUCACAACUGAGUGAGUGAAGCAGGAUGGGCUUCCGUCCGGCCAUUUUUGACUAUGACAAUGUGAAAACUGGAUGUUGGUGUCUUCACAAGAAAUGUAGGUCUAUAUUUUAGCUUCGAAACGCUAUAAAGUUUGCCUCAAUCCGAUAAGCAUAGCUCUAGUUAUGAUUGAAAUACCAGAGGAUGGCAAAGCUGCCUUCCUCGUUGCCUUUCCUUUUGUUUCGCAUGCAUACAGCUUUGAUAAUGGCCGUGAGGAAACCAACUUUUAACUAACGUUUCUUCUAAUUUCCAAUCUUGUAAGCUUUCAUAAAUGAUAGCUAUGAUUGUGCUGAGAUUUAAUCGCUAUACCUAGUUCCACGAGUAGAGUUAGACUAAGGCAAUUGAGUGAAAAGUCACGAUAGUUAUAUACGUAAAGUGGCUUCUAAUUAUUUAAUAUUAUUUUCACGAAUAUUUUUAAAGGCUAUUAAAUUUUGGGACUGGUAUAGUGAAAAAAAACUUAAUUUCCAAAUAACUUAGAGUCUAAUUAAUAAAAGGGAACCAAGGGAAUACUUCUAAACCUUAAUUUUGGAAUCUUGAGUGGAAAAUGAUUUAAAUCCUAAAAUAAAUAUCUUAUGAAUUAUUAACUUGUCCAGGAUGUAGCUGUGAGCCAAGAAACAAACCCGAGGCUCAAGAGUAAUUUACUUGGAUAAUUGGUGAGUGUUUUCCGAAUUUAUGUAUUAAACUGCUUAUGUGUACCUAAAUGCAAUUAUAUGGCAAAUGUGUUUAUUAUGAAAUAUUGCUAAGUGAUUCAUUGUGAAGUGUUUUCAAUUGUCCCUCGCCUUUUAAGUCCAGAGUGUACUUUAUCGCACUCGUCUUAGUUGAGCUUGAAGGUCGAUAAUUGAUCGAGUGAUAUUAUAAGUGUGCAUGACUGUAAGCCGUGUGUGUACUUUAUCACACCGGCUGAACUGGGCCCCAAAACCCUCUGUUCAACGUACUAUUCGAGCCAGCAAAGGGUUUGGUCGGGUAGGACGGUAGUUUUGAGUAAGUGUUUCGGUAUGCUCGAGUAUUACCACGGAGUAGCAGAUUAUUGAUAUUGAUAUGGCCAUCCAAGUGAGGGAAAUGUUUAUUGUUUUGGAGGUUAUAAGGAAGAGUUCGGCGGAGUGUGUAGUGCAUUGAAGUGGCUCUAAUGCGAGCACCGUAUCCUUUUAAAAGUGAUUGUUCAGUGAAGCGUUUCCUCAAUUGCUAAUGAAAGUGAUUGUACAGUGAAAUGUGCACUACUUGUUUAUUUGUAUUGAUUCAUGUGAUUAUUAAAUGUUACUUGCAUGGAAACCUCACGGGCGUAAGCUCACCUUUUUAGCUUUGUUUUCCUUACAGGAGUUGGAGAUUGAAAAGUGAUUGGAUGGAAUUGGAAAGUUAUUUUUGGAAAUCCCAUCACUAUGUGUGUAUAUUGGAGUCACGUUUUCUUUCGUAUUUUAAGAUGGUUGAAUCUUUUGUUUUGAGUUGAUGUAAUAUUAAGAAUGGAUGUUUAGAACGUGUAUUUUUUUUCCUUUUAGUGGACAAAUCUAUGUUUCAAGCUGAUUGGAGUGGUACUUAAGAGUGAAUGUUCAGUUGUCCAAUGGUAAUGUUAUCUCUGAAGUUAAUGGGAGUGAGUGAGUCCUGGCGAGAGCCAGGCAGGCGAUCCGCUAACUUCUAGGGUAUGCCCUAGGAGAAGGUGGGGUCGUCACAGGUGAUAUCAGAGCUCUUAAUGAGCUCAUGCCAGGAGAAGGUUCUUGGAUUGUGGGGAGUGGCCUGUUAACUGUGAAAUGAACUAUCAUUAUUGAGGAAAAAUUAGAUACGUAUAUCGGGUAGGAAUCUCAAAUAUGGAUGAUUUACUCUUGGAACCGGCCGGCUUGAGUUGUGAAUUAUCCUAUUUUCGGAUUCUUGUAUCCGAGUACUAAAUAUUUUAUACAUUCGUGUAUUUGCAAAUUGGCAGGAGUUAGUAUAUUGCAUUAUGAAGUGAAUAGGAAUCGUGAUUAAAUUUGGGGAAGUGGAAUCGAAGAGACUAAGGCUAGCUUUGAGAGUUAAAGGUGAAAAGACAGUAGUGAGAUCUUGAAGAUUGGUGCAAAUCCUCCAUCUUAAGGUGAAUAACUUUACUAGUCUUUCGAUAGUAAAUGAAUUAUAUACCAUCUAUUGCCCAAAAAUGUGGUUUUCAGACAUGAAAUUUAAGUGAAAUAAUAGUUCAAGUAAGGAUUCUAGAUCUGUAAACUGAUAUGAUAGAGGAGCAAGAGUGAACUAAUGCAAUGCAUGAUCAGUUGCAGGAGACUAAGGACCGCCUUGUUUGGGUACCAAGAUAGGCAAGGGAUAAAAUUGAAGAGAUUUUGGCAGAAUGUAGCUCGUGAUUGAAGAGGUUGUGGGAAAUUUGGAUAGGAAAAAAAAUCCAAAAGAAAAAGCUCUUAGGGUUGAAAAUAAAGUUGAACCAACUAAAGAGACUGGAUCUGCCAGCUCUAUUAUGGACUGACCCAAUAAAUCACUUGAUUAAAACUUUUGCAUGGACGAUUGAGUUGGAACUUUGUCAUGUUUUUACGGAUACUAAAUUUUCUUAUACCAAAUACUUGUUUGACUUCUUAUUAAAGUGUACUUGAACUUGAUAUAUGUUGUAAUUGACCUUGUUAUGUGAUAUACUUUAAUUGAUCAUGAAUCGCUUAAUAGUAACGAUAUGUAUGGAGUGAAUGUGUUUCUGGGUUAUAGUUAACCACAAUUGUAUUCAUGCAUAAUUGAUUAUUACAUGUUUGUUAAUAGACUAGUUGUGAGAGAUAUAGAGUUUAGGGAGUGAUAACGUCAGGGUUAUGAGGUUAUCUUUGGUGAAGAUUGUUUAAUUAAGUAUAACACCCAGUUAAAUUGUGAAUUAAAGUAGUUGAGUUUUAUAUACUUGGGGAUGUAGUCGAUACAACACUUAAAUUGCAGAGGGAAAACGCCAAGACCAAAUUUAUUUGGUUAAGGCUUUGUGGAAAACAUGAAUGAUUAGACGAAGUGAUGUGGAAAUGAAAGAUAAAAUACGGAAAGAAUACUCGAAACUUUUUACAAUUCAAAGUGUGAAAUUUCGAGGACGAAAUUUUAUUAAAGGGGGAAGAAUGUGAUAAUUCGAGAGAAAUCUUGAAUAAACUUAGCCAUUAUUACCCUUAUUUCAUCAUUUGAAAUAUUAUAGAUAACAAAUAAUUGGUCAAAUUAAAUGACAAAAUUUAAUUGUUCAAUAAAUUGAGGAUUUAGCAAUAUCCUAGAAUAGUGUAGGAAAACAUAUAUAUAUAUUUAACAAGAAGAAUUUAUUCUAAAUAUUAGUUACACGAAUCAAAUAAACAUCCGAUAUGCAUAUUACCGUUUGUGACCUUUGAAUAUAUUAAAUAGUGGAAUAAGUGAUACGUCUAGUUGAAUUUCUUUAAGAUCAAGUGUAAGAAAAUCUACUGGAUAGAUAUAUUUAGAAAGUUUUCAAGGUAAAUGCAAAAUUGGAACAAACGGAAAAUUUUGAGUCAAGGUGUAAGGCAAUAAAAUUUCGGAUUCAUGGCAACCAAAUAAACUAAGAUGAAAAUACCAAACUAACCACCGAAUUUCAGAUUAAAUACCAUGCAACCAAGACUCAAUCAUUAGAAAUUUAACAAACAAACUGGGUGCUUGAGGAAUUAAAACCAAUUGGAGGUCAACUAACUAGCUAUUAGACCAAACGGUAGAGAGAAAAUAAGUGGAAUUUGGCUGCUGACUUGGGACGGUGGGUAGCUCUCGUCUGGACAGCUGCCCUGAAGGAAUCUGCUGAGUAUGCAGUGACCGAAUGAGGUGAACAUUGGAUUGAUCAGCACCGAAUGAAGAAGCUUGAGUGGUCGGUGGAGUGAAGGAAAUAUGUUCAAAUGCUCUUCUUACCAACCAAGCAUUGGAAACCAAAUCGAGAGUGAGAGUUUCGGUCAUAACCAUUCAUGCCAAAACACCACCGAGUGAGAAAUAUUUCUGAUUCCUCUUGUCCAGCUUGCAACCGAGAGAGAGAGAGAGUGAGGGAGAGAGUGCUAGCUUUAUCUCUCCAGCUCGCAACCUCAUAACCGUGAGUCAAAGUGAGUGAGAGGGAGAGAAAUCUUGUUAGCUGCAUCAUCCACCAGUUUUAACCGAGAGUGAAAGUGACGUAAGGAAGGAGAAGGAGAGAGUUGGAGCGGAAACUUUGAGGAGCCGCAGCAGAAAGCUAAGAGUAACCUGCAAUUACCGAAUUCUAAAGGAAAGAGGAACUCAUUUCUGGCCUCUUUCAACCGUGAGAACCAGCCACAAAGAAAGAAUGAAUGCAGUCUAUCGAGUCUAGGAUGGGAGAGUGGAACCAGAAUUUUAUUUUCUUAACUUAGGCCAUAAGAACCAGAGGUAAACUACUGUCCUCCUCUUCCAGUUCUUCCACGUUUAGUUAGUAGUCUUUUAGACUGAGUUGGAACCAAGUAAAAGAAAACUUUCUGGAAAACAAAGGUUAUCAAACUUGGAAAUGUUAGUUUGAAGCUGCUAUGUGAUACUUGAUGAGCUAAUUUGCAAUUUUCCAGUUGUAUCUUC
This 6205-nucleotide long non-coding RNA is filed under the name Coffea arabica (coffee). RNAcentral's name for it is "long non-coding RNA (CARA_LNC004273)". Lineage: Eukaryota; Viridiplantae; Streptophyta; Magnoliopsida; Gentianales; Rubiaceae. The record is from RNAcentral.